This 210-nucleotide ribosomal RNA is filed under the name uncultured bacterium. RNAcentral's name for it is "partial 16S ribosomal RNA". It matches the Rfam family "Bacterial small subunit ribosomal RNA", at positions 1292 to 1500 of the family's 1533-position model. The record is from RNAcentral.
UUCGGAUUGAAGGCUGAAAUUCGCCUUCAUGUAGUCGGAAUUGCUAGUAAUGGCAGGUCAGCAUACUGCCGUGAAUACGUUCCCGGGCCCUUGUACACACCGCCCGUCACACCAUGGGAGUCGGUAACACCCGAAGCCUGUAGUCUAACCGCAAGGGGGACGCAGUCGAAGGUGGGAUUGAUGACUGGGGUGAAGUCGUAACAAGGUAAC